UUUAUGGAGAGUUUGAUCCUGGCUCAGGAUGAACGCUGGCGGCGUGCCUAAUACAUGCAAGUCGAGCGAACGGACGAGAAGCUUGCUUCUCUGAUGUUAGCGGCGGACGGGUGAGUAACACGUGGAUAACCUACCUAUAAGACUGGGAUAACUUCGGGAAACCGUAGCUAAUACCGGAUAAUAUUUUGAACCGCAUGGUUCAAAAGUGAAAGACGGUCUUGCUGUCACUUAUAGAUGGAUCCGCGCUGCAUUAGCUAGUUGGUAAGGUAACGGCUUACCAAGGCAACGAUGC
This 292-nucleotide ribosomal RNA is filed under the name Staphylococcus aureus. RNAcentral describes it as "partial 16S ribosomal RNA". It matches the Rfam family "Bacterial small subunit ribosomal RNA", at positions 1 to 282 of the family's 1533-position model. The record is from RNAcentral. Lineage: Bacteria; Bacillati; Bacillota; Bacilli; Caryophanales; Staphylococcaceae.